AGGGCGGUAGCUCAGUCCGGUAGAGCGGUGGACUCCAAAUCCAUUGGUCGGGGGUUCAAAUCCUCUCCGCCCUG
Molecule: transfer RNA, 74 nt
Filed under: bacterium
Lineage: Bacteria
Also listed under: 2 other names
Description: tRNA-Trp
Rfam family: tRNA
About the family: Transfer RNA (tRNA) molecules are approximately 80 nucleotides in length. Their secondary structure includes four short double-helical elements and three loops (D, anti-codon, and T loops). Further hydrogen bonds mediate the characteristic L-shaped molecular structure. tRNAs have two regions of fundamental functional importance: the anti-codon, which is responsible for specific mRNA codon recognition, and the 3' end, to which the tRNAs corresponding amino acid is attached (by aminoacyl-tRNA synthetases). tRNAs cope with the degeneracy of the genetic code in two manners: having more than one tRNA (with a specific anti-codon) for a particular amino acid; and 'wobble' base-pairing, i.e. permitting non-standard base-pairing at the 3rd anti-codon position.
Source: RNAcentral